GACAGAGGGUGCAAACGUUGUUCGGAAUUACUGGGCGUAAAGCGCGUGUAGGCGGCUAUGUAAGUCGGGCGUGAAAUCCCACGGCUCAACCGUGGAAGUGCACCCGAAACUGCGUAGCUAGAGUCCUGGAGAGGAAGGUGGAAUGCUUUGGUGUAGAGGUGAAAUUCGUAGAUAUCAAGCGGAACACCGGUGGCGAAGGCGGCCUUCUGGACAGUGACUGACGGCUGAGACGCGAAAGCGUGGGGAGCAAACAGGG
RNAcentral lists this ribosomal RNA (256 nucleotides) under uncultured bacterium. RNAcentral describes it as "partial 16S ribosomal RNA". It matches the Rfam family "Bacterial small subunit ribosomal RNA", at positions 524 to 777 of the family's 1533-position model. The record is from RNAcentral.